Molecule: ribosomal RNA, 706 nt
Filed under: Chryseobacterium jejuense
Lineage: Bacteria; Pseudomonadati; Bacteroidota; Flavobacteriia; Flavobacteriales; Weeksellaceae
Description: bacterial SSU rRNA
Rfam family: Bacterial small subunit ribosomal RNA
Source: RNAcentral
AAUUAUUUUCCUCCACUAACCGGAUUUAGAUACCCUGGUAGUCCACGCCGUAAACGAUGCUAACUCGUUUUUGGGCUUUCGGGUUCAGAGACUAAGCGAAAGUGAUAAGUUAGCCACCUGGGGAGUACGUUCGCAAGAAUGAAACUCAAAGGAAUUGACGGGGGCCCGCACAAGCGGUGGAUUAUGUGGUUUAAUUCGAUGAUACGCGAGGAACCUUACCCAAGGCUUAAAUGGGAAAUGACAGGUUUAGAAAUAGACUUUUCUUCGGACAUUUUUCAAGGUGCUGCAUGGUUGUCGUCAGCUCGUGCCGUGAGGUGUUAGGUUAAGUCCUGCAACGAGCGCAACCCCUGUCACUAGUUGCCAUCAUUAAGUUGGGGACUCUAGUGAGACUGCCUACGCAAGUAGAGAGGAAGGUGGGGAUGACGUCAAAUCAUCACGGCCCUUACGCCUUGGGCCACACACGUAAUACAAUGGCCGGUACAGAGGGCAGCUACACUGCGAAGUGAUGCAAAUCUCGAAAGCCGGUCUCAGUUCGGAUUGGAGUCUGCAACUCGACUCUAUGAAGCUGGAAUCGCUAGUAAUCGCGCCAUCAGCCAUGGCGCGGUGAAUACGUUCCCGGGCCUUGUACACACCGCCCGUCAAGCCAUGGAAGUCUGGGGUACCUGAAGUCGGUGACCGUAACAGAGCUGCCUAGUAAAACAGAAGG